Molecule: ribosomal RNA, 750 nt
Filed under: Pseudomonas sp. ZFGT-6
Lineage: Bacteria; Pseudomonadati; Pseudomonadota; Gammaproteobacteria; Pseudomonadales; Pseudomonadaceae
Description: bacterial SSU rRNA
Rfam family: Bacterial small subunit ribosomal RNA
Source: RNAcentral
GCGGUAGAGAGAAGCUUGCUUCUCUUGAGAGCGGCGGACGGGUGAGUAAUGCCUAGGAAUCUGCCUGGUAGUGGGGGAUAACGUUCGGAAACGGACGCUAAUACCGCAUACGUCCUACGGGAGAAAGCAGGGGACCUUCGGGCCUUGCGCUAUCAGAUGAGCCUAGGUCGGAUUAGCUAGUUGGUGGGGUAAUGGCUCACCAAGGCGACGAUCCGUAACUGGUCUGAGAGGAUGAUCAGUCACACUGGAACUGAGACACGGUCCAGACUCCUACGGGAGGCAGCAGUGGGGAAUAUUGGACAAUGGGCGAAAGCCUGAUCCAGCCAUGCCGCGUGUGUGAAGAAGGUCUUCGGAUUGUAAAGCACUUUAAGUUGGGAGGAAGGGCAGUUGCCUAAUACGUAACUGUUUUGACGUUACCGACAGAAUAAGCACCGGCUAACUCUGUGCCAGCAGCCGCGGUAAUACAGAGGGUGCAAGCGUUAAUCGGAAUUACUGGGCGUAAAGCGCGCGUAGGUGGUUUGUUAAGUUGGAUGUGAAAUCCCCGGGCUCAACCUGGGAACUGCAUUCAAAACUGACUGACUAGAGUAUGGUAGAGGGUGGUGGAAUUUCCUGUGUAGCGGUGAAAUGCGUAGAUAUAGGAAGGAACACCAGUGGCGAAGGCGACCACCUGGACUAAUACUGACACUGAGGUGCGAAAGCGUGGGGAGCAAACAGGAUUAGAUACCCUGGUAGUCCACGCCGUAAACGAUG